This 1398-nucleotide ribosomal RNA is filed under the name Triticum aestivum (bread wheat). Its description in RNAcentral is "partial small subunit ribosomal RNA". Lineage: Eukaryota; Viridiplantae; Streptophyta; Magnoliopsida; Poales; Poaceae. The record is from RNAcentral.
AUGGAGGCGUCAGACGACACCAGUUCCCUCCAGGCGGCGAUUCGAUGGCUGCUGCACACCAUCCUUCCGAGCCUCAGCAAGCUGGACGGGUGGAUCCGCCACGCAGGGCUCGGCAGCGAGGUGGAGAGGCUCAGGGAUGAGAUCGACCAAGUCGACGGCAACGUCUCCGCCGUGAACGCCAGGUCUGAUAUCCGAAACAGGUCGCUGGCCAGAUCCCUUUCAGCCCUCAAGGAGCUGCUCUACGACGCCGACGACGUGGUCGACGAGCUCGACUGCUACAGGAUCCAGCGCCAGCUCCACGCCCACGGAGGCCCAUGGCAUUGGCACCAUCCCAACCAAAUUGACGGACCAAGUAACCAGCUGCCAAGUUCUUCAAGGACCAGUGACUCCACUCAAAAUGCAACUGCUGAUAAUUCAUCCAGAAGAAAAAGGAGAAGGGGUGAUGAUUCAACAGACAUCACCGCAGCCAACACAGGCCCUUGGAGCAAGGACCAAAUUUCUGAAAGGAUACAAGACAUAACUGGUCAGCUGCGAGAUAUCCGAGGGAACGCGCGACGUGUUCUCAAUAUGCUUGGGCCAGGGUCUCGUGCAGGUCCAAAUCACUGCCAGAGUACAACCACCGCGGACCCACGCCGAGGGGCAUCAUCAAGUCUUGUUCAAGGGAAAGUGUAUGGGAGAGCUGAAGAGAAGAGUUACAUCAUAGAGUUGAUAAAAGCACGCAAAUCAGAUGCCGGGGUGACUGUUCUGCCAAUUGUAGGCAUUGCAGGGGUUGGGAAGACAACUCUGGCACAACUUGUAUACAAUGAUCAAGACUUGGAGAGUCAGUUUGACCUCCGCAUAUGGAUCUGGGUGUCUAGCAGCUUCGAUGAAACUAGAGUCACAAGAGAGAUGUUAGAUUUUGUGUCCCUGGGAGCGCAUGGAGGCAAAUGCAGGUUUCCCAAGCUUCCGGAAGUCUUGAAGGAUCAUGUUAAAUCAAAGAGGGUUCUGCUUAUUUUGGAUGAUAUUUGGGAUGACAUAAGUGAUUGCCAAUGGAACAAUCUAUUAGCACCGUUUAAGCCUAACAAUGCAAAGGGCAGCAUGAUACUCGUGACAACUAGAAUACCAUCUCUUGCCAAAAAACGAGGUACAACUGGACCGAUUAACUUAGAUGGUUUGAAAAAUGAUGAUUUCUGGCUAAUGUUUAAAGCGUGUGCAUUUGGUGAUGAGAACUAUGAAGAGCAAGUUAGUCUGGGUGAGCUUGGACAGCAGAUAGCAAAAAGGUUACAGGGAAACCCAUUAGCUGCAGAAACUGCAGGGACACUGUUAAGAGAGCAUCUUACCAUUGAUCAUUGGAGUAAUAUUCUGAAGAACCAAUAUUGGAAAUCUUACAACUCAGUAGUGGCAUCAUGUCUGCUUUGA